CUGGCGGCAUGGAUUAGGCAUGCAAGUCGAACGGUGCAGCAAUGCAUAGUGGCGCAAGGGUGAGGAACGCGUGAGUAACCUGCCCUCAAGUUGGGAACAGCUUCUGGAAACGGAAAUUAAUACCGAAUGUGACCAUUGGAAGGCAUCUUCUGUUGGUUAAAGGCCGCAAGGUCGCUUGAGGAGGGGCUCGCGUCCCAUUAUGCUAGUUGGUGAGGUAACGGCCCACCAAGGCGAAGAUGGGUAGCUGGUCUGAGAGGACGAUCAGCCACACUGGGACUGAGAACUGCCCAGACUCCUACGGGAGGCUGCAGUCGAGAAUUUUGGGCAAUGGACGAAAGUCUGACCCAGCAAAAUGCCGCGUGCGGGAUGAAGGUCUUCGGAUUGUAAACCGCUGUCAAGUGGGACGAAACAAAUGACGGUACCGCUGAAGGAAGUCACGGCUAACUACGUGCCAGCAGCAGC
RNAcentral lists this ribosomal RNA (462 nucleotides) under uncultured bacterium. RNAcentral describes it as "bacterial SSU rRNA". It matches the Rfam family "Bacterial small subunit ribosomal RNA", at positions 36 to 518 of the family's 1533-position model. The record is from RNAcentral.